Molecule: non-coding RNA, 45 nt
Organism: Schistosoma mattheei
Lineage: Eukaryota; Metazoa; Platyhelminthes; Trematoda; Strigeidida; Schistosomatidae
Source: Rfam
AUCCAGCUGACGAGUUCCAAAUAGGACAAAACGCGCAUGCUAGAU